UACGAGGGGGGCUAGUGUUGUUCGGAAUCACUGGGCGUAAAGGGAGCGUAGGCGGGAGCUCAAGUUGGGUGUUUAAUUCCGGGGCCCAACCCCGGGCGUGCACUCAAAACUGGGUUUCUUGAAUAGGGGAGAGGUCGAUGGAAUUGGAGGUGUAGCGGUGGAAUGCGUAGAGAUCUCCAAGAACACCGGUUGCGAAGGCGGUCGACUGGACCCAUAUUGACGCUGAGGCUCGAAAGCGUGGGGAGCAAACAGG
Molecule: ribosomal RNA, 253 nt
Filed under: uncultured bacterium
Lineage: Bacteria
Also listed under: 1 other name
Description: partial 16S ribosomal RNA
Rfam family: Bacterial small subunit ribosomal RNA
Source: RNAcentral